RNAcentral lists this long non-coding RNA (1371 nucleotides) under Dromaius novaehollandiae (emu). RNAcentral describes it as "lncRNA (ENSDNVG00000016189.1)". The record is from RNAcentral. Lineage: Eukaryota; Metazoa; Chordata; Aves; Casuariiformes; Dromaiidae.
GCAACGAGAAGACACGGUGCUGGUAAGCGCAUUGGCUGAGGUAGGAAUGAAGGAGAAUAAAUACAGACGUGGAUUGAAGGUGUUUCAGGAUCUCAAGGGAAAAAGAAAAAGCAAYAAGUGUGAUAGCUCAUCCCAGACUUCCUGCAAAAGAGGAACCCUUUAAGGACUAUAAGAGUGCUUCUAUAUUUGUAAAUUCUCUCUUAGCUUUUGCCCUGUGCAUGCUUGGAUAUCUCACAUGCUCUCCACCAUGCAUGUAGACAGCAAGUUUUUUGCAUGUUACAUAACCUCAUAUUGCCAGCUGAGAAAGAUUGCUCAAAACUUCCCUUCAUAAAACAACAACCACUGAAUUUCUUUCCAGUCAGGUCCCCAUUCUUUCUUUCACUGUUGUUUUUUUCUGUCUACAGCUUUUAAAGGCUUUUUGACAAAUUCAGAUUACUGAAUCCAGUAAUUAGGAAGUAAAUGGGAGCUCUUGCUAAUGCUACAUGUCUUACUACCUAACGACCACUGAUGAGGACUAUUUUCUCUAUUAUGUACAUGGUGGUAUUCAUGAAGAUUUUAAGCAGGAAGCAUGCCCGCGUGCUCAGCAACAUCAAGCGACUGCUAGCAGAACUGAUCCUCAUCUACACAUUAUCGAAGCUCUGUGUAUUUGUACAGAAAUGCUGCUCUUGGUAGCUACAAGAGUUUCCUACUCAACAUUAAUCCAAUAUCACUAAGACCCAAAUAUAGAAAAUAAUAUUACCUUCUAGGUUUCCUGCUGUUACAAAAUGUGCAAAAUAUUCUUUAUACUACAGUAAGACUCAUUUAUCUUUAAAAGUGGUUAGGUAAGAAAGACACUCAAGCACCCCGUCAUUCAGAAAUGACAGGGUACAAGAUACACUAGGCACCCCUUUUUCAACAGCACUGAACAUAAAAUAGGAAACCCAGACAGGUUUUUUUUUCAUGCUGACUGAGCAGAGUUGAAAAAUGAAAGUUGACACAAGAUUUAUAGCUUUUUCUUGUUUAUCUUAACGCUCUCUGGAGCAGGUUACCUUGUUAGGAAAACGCAGCGGAGACGAAAUCCACGUUCCACUGUACUGGAUGCAACAGCUCGAGCUUGGCACCAGCUCCGCCUGGAUCAGCACCAAAGAAACGGCCUGUGUUUCCUCGGCUCACAUGUCACGGUCUGCGCGCUUGGCAGCAACGCCGUGGUUGCCCCUUGCGUGGGGAUAAGGUCUGCGAGAGCUUUCCCUCCACGGCUGCCCACCCGGGAGCUCACACGCCUGGGGCGUGCGGUGCUCAGCAUCCGGCAUCCGCUCCCUCUUGUGGCAGGCUGCUUGUGCGGUCCAGCGCCCAUCCGUUCGCUAACGCCAGAUGUGUUUUACAUCACUCUGC